CGUAGGGUGCGGGGCGUUAAUCGGAAUUACUGGGGCGUAAAGCGUGCGCAGGCGGUUUGUUAAGACAGAUGUGAAAUCCCCGGGCGUCAACCUAGGGAACGUGCAUUUGUUGACUGGCGAGGCUAGAGUAUGGCGAGAGGGGGGUAGGAAUUCCACGUGUAGCAGUGAAAUAGCGUAGAGAUGUGGAGGAAUACCGAUGGCGAAGGCAGCCCCUCGGGCAAUACUGACGCUCAUGCACGAAAGCGUGGGGAGCAAACAGGAUU
RNAcentral lists this ribosomal RNA (263 nucleotides) under uncultured bacterium. Its description in RNAcentral is "partial 16S ribosomal RNA". It matches the Rfam family "Bacterial small subunit ribosomal RNA", at positions 526 to 779 of the family's 1533-position model. The record is from RNAcentral.